GAUGAACGCUGGCGGCGUGCUUAACACAUGCAAGUCGAACGAAGCACUUUAUUUGAUUUCCUUCGGGACUGAUUAUUUUGUGACUGAGUGGCGGACGGGUGAGUAACGCGUGGGUAACCUGCCUUGUACAGGGGGAUAACAGUUGGAAACGGCUGCUAAUACCGCAUAAGCGCACGGCAUCGCAUGAUGCAGUGUGAAAAACUCCGGUGGUAUAAGAUGGACCCGCGUUGGAUUAGCUAGUUGGUGAGGUAACGGCCCACCAAGGCGACGAUCCAUAGCCGAGCUGAGAGGGUGACCGGCCACAUUGGGACUGAGACACGGCCCAGACUCCUACGGGAGGCAGCAGUGGGGAAUAUUGCACAAUGGGCGAAAGCCUGAUGCAGCGACGCCGCGUGAGCGAAGAAGUAUUUCGGUAUGUAAAGCUCUAUUAGCAGGGAAGAUAAUGACGGUACCUGACUAAGAAGCACCGGCUAAAUACGUG
This 481-nucleotide ribosomal RNA is filed under the name uncultured bacterium. RNAcentral's name for it is "partial 16S ribosomal RNA". It matches the Rfam family "Bacterial small subunit ribosomal RNA", at positions 28 to 507 of the family's 1533-position model. The record is from RNAcentral.